RNAcentral lists this ribosomal RNA (497 nucleotides) under uncultured bacterium. RNAcentral describes it as "partial 16S ribosomal RNA". It matches the Rfam family "Bacterial small subunit ribosomal RNA", at positions 28 to 507 of the family's 1533-position model. The record is from RNAcentral.
GAUGAACGCUGGCGGCGUGCCUAAUACAUGCAAGUCGAGCGAACAGACGAGGAGCUUGCUCCUCUGACGUUAGCGGCGGACGGGUGAGUAACACGUGGAUAACCUACCUAUAAGACUGGGAUAACUUCGGGAAACCGGAGCUAAUACCGGAUAAUAUAUUGAACCGCAUGGUUCAAUAGUGAAAGACGGUUUUGCUGUCACUUAUAGAUGGAUCCGCGCCGCAUUAGCUAGUUGGUAAGGUAACGGCUUACCAAGCCGACGAUGCGUAGCCGACCUGAGAGGGUGAUCGGCCACACUGGAACUGAGACACGGUCCAGACUCCUACGGGAGGCAGCAGUAGGGAAUCUUCCGCAAUGGGCGAAAGCCUGACGGAGCAACGCCGCGUGAGUGAUGAAGGUCUUCGGAUCGUAAAACUCUGUUAUUAGGGAAGAACAAAUGUGUAAGUAACUAUGCACGUCUUGACGGUACCUAAUCAGAAAGCCACGGCUAACUACGUG